AUACAGAGGGUGCAAGCGUUAAUCGGAUUUACUGGGCGUAAAGCGCGCGUAGGUGGCUAAUUAAGUCAAAUGUGAAAUCCCCGAGCUUAACUUGGGAAUUGCAUUCGAUACUGGUUAGCUAGAGUAUGGGAGAGGAUGGUAGAAUUCCAGGUGUAGCGGUGAAAUGCGUAGAGAUCUGGAGGAAUACCGAUGGCGAAGGCAGCCAUCUGGCCUAAUACUGACACUGAGGUGCGAAAGCAUGGGGAGAAAACAGGAUUAGAUACCCUGGUAGUCCAUGCCGUAAACGAUGUCUACUAGCCGUUGGGGCCCUUGAGGCUCUAGUGGCGCAGCUAACGCGAUAAGUAGACCGCCUGGGGAGUACGGUCGCAAGACUAAAACUCAAAUGAAUUGACGGGG
This 396-nucleotide ribosomal RNA is filed under the name uncultured bacterium. Its description in RNAcentral is "partial 16S ribosomal RNA". It matches the Rfam family "Bacterial small subunit ribosomal RNA", at positions 523 to 918 of the family's 1533-position model. The record is from RNAcentral.